UUAUUGUAAAUAUUCGAUAGUGAUUAGAUAAUUAUUGUGAGAAAAGAUGAUGCGAGUAUGUGUGGACUGAGAAAAGAUCUUCGGGGCGAGUUUCCUGAUGUCGGCUUACGGUGUCGCCGCUAUCAAAGAUCCUAACUCCCAAGUUUUUUCGUUUUUCUCUCUCUUCCUAAAUCUUAUUUCCUUUCUAACCUCGUUUUUUCACUAACUUGUUUUGAAUAAAAUUGAAACAGAUCUUGAAAAAUUGAAGAUAUGAGAAAGAUGCUUGAAGAUGAAGCUUGUGUGCUUUGUGAAAGUCAUAUGAAAGUCGAUUAGGCGAUGAGGAUUCCCCGAGUAAAUCUGAAAAUCUCAGAGAUACUGGAUCAUCCCAAUAUCCAGAUCUGCAACUAAGGCCGCCAAAACGCGCUUGCAGAAAUCUUGGAAGUAUUCACAGAGGAAUAUUGCCAUGCAUAAUAUUGAUACUUGGUUUAUUCUUCAUACCAGAAUCUCCUAGGUGGUUGGAAAAAAUGGGCUUGAUGGAAGAUUUUGAGGUUUCCUUGCAAGUUUUUCGUGCCUUUGAUACUAAUAUAUCUAUCGAGGUUAACGAAAUCAAGGUAUGAGUUUCUUUUUGAAAAUCUCAUGGACCCGGCUCAUCUUCCGUAUGCACACUAUGGUAUAUUGGAAACACCCAACUCCCAAAGUCAAGGCUGAUAGAGAAGGCGGAAGACCUCUUAACUUGUAUUAAAAACAUGGACAUUGAUUUUGUGGGUCAUGUCACGCUUCCUAAAUUACAAAGGAAUGUAAAAUUAUAGACUAUUUGUGGAUGUUUUUGUUGGUUAUAAUUUAUUAUGGAUUUUGUUAAUAA
This is a long non-coding RNA of Spinacia oleracea (spinach), 841 nucleotides long. RefSeq lists it as uncharacterized. The transcript is spliced from 6 exons. Lineage: Eukaryota; Viridiplantae; Streptophyta; Magnoliopsida; Caryophyllales; Amaranthaceae. The record is from RefSeq and is a predicted model, not a curated record.